This is a long non-coding RNA of Medicago truncatula (barrel medic), 651 nucleotides long. RefSeq lists it as uncharacterized. The transcript has 2 exons. Lineage: Eukaryota; Viridiplantae; Streptophyta; Magnoliopsida; Fabales; Fabaceae. The record is from RefSeq and is a predicted model, not a curated record.
AAGCGCUAAAAACUAUAAAAUGAAUGUCAGAAGAGAACUAGUUUAUAAAGUGAUAAAACUAUAUAAUAUUUCUUACAUGCAUAAGAAAUAAAUUAUGGCUAAAGUUCUCAAACUUGUUAAUGUUAUGAUCAUUUUUCUUGCCCUAGUUCUUGUUGCAAUGAACGUUAACGCGGAUGUUAUUAAUUGUACCCAAGAUUCUGAUUGUCAGUCAAUUGGAUGCUUGUCUCAUCUUAAACCGAAGUGUACUAUGUUAGGAUUUUUUUUCAAUGCCUUUGUUGGCAUAUGCGAAUGUGAUCAAGUGAUGUGACCAUAAGAUUUUUCUAGAAAACUAUAGGAUAUCUCAUUUUGUUAUUGUGUUGCCCCCAAUAAUUUAAGUUUUUUUUUUUAUUUUCAUAAAUCUCGUAGUUGUGGAUUAUGUACUCUAAGAAGAUGGUAAUGAAACGAAACAAGGGAGAAAAUAAAGUUAUUUAGAUAGUAUUCUAGAUUUUAUUUUUGUAUUUUCAAAUAGUUAAGUUUUAAGAAUCAAUGAGUACAAAAAAACUAAGAUAGGAACAAUAUCCUCAAGAAUGAAUAUGAAUGACAAACAUUAGAUAAAUGAGACUUGACAAUUGUUGGAUAUUUCACAGAGAUAUUCCUACUAUUGAAAUUUCU